This 917-nucleotide ribosomal RNA is filed under the name uncultured Bacteroidota bacterium. RNAcentral describes it as "bacterial SSU rRNA". It matches the Rfam family "Bacterial small subunit ribosomal RNA", at positions 1 to 916 of the family's 1533-position model. Lineage: Bacteria; Pseudomonadati; Bacteroidota. The record is from RNAcentral.
GGAUCCAGACUUUGAUCCUGGCUCAGGAUGAACGCUAGCUACAGGCUUAACACAUGCAAGUCGAGGGGCAGCAUGACCUAGCAAUAGGUUGAUGGCGACCGGCGCACGGGUGAGUAACACGUAUCCAACCUGCCGAUUAUUCCGGGAUAGCCUUUCGAAAGAAAGAUUAAUACUGGAUAGCAUAACGAGAAGGCAUCUUCUUGUUAUUAAAGAAUUUCGAUAAUCGAUGGGGAUGCGUUCCAUUAGUUUGUUGGCGGGGUAACGGCCCACCAAGACAUCGAUGGAUAGGGGUUCUGAGAGGAAGGUCCCCCACAUUGGAACUGAGACACGGUCCAAACUCCUACGGGAGGCAGCAGUGAGGAAUAUUGGUCAAUGGACGAGAGUCUGAACCAGCCAAGUAGCGUGAAGGAUGACUGCCCUAUGGGUUGUAAACUUCUUUUAUAUGGGAAUAAAGUGGGCCACGUGUGGCUUUUUGUAUGUACCAUACGAAUAAGGAUCGGCUAACUCCGUGCCAGCAGCCGCGGUAAUACGGAGGAUCCAAGCGUUAUCCGGAUUUAUUGGGUUUAAAGGGAGCGUAGGCGGAUUAUUAAGUCAGUUGUGAAAGUUUGCGGCUCAACCGUAAAAUUGCAGUUGAUACUGGUAGUCUUGAGUGCAGCAGAGGUAGGCGGAAUUCGUGGUGUAGCGGUGAAAUGCUUAGAUAUCACGAAGAACUCCGAUUGCGAAGGCAGCUUACUGGACUGUAACUGACGCUGAUGCUCGAAAGUGUGGGUAUCAAACAGGAUUAGAUACCCUGGUAGUCCACACAGUAAACGAUGAAUACUCGCUGUUUGCGAUAUACGGCAAGCGGCCAAGCGAAAGCAUUAAGUAUUCCACCUGGGGAGUACGCCGGCAACGGUGCAACUCAAAUGAAUUGACGG